This is a long non-coding RNA of Topomyia yanbarensis, 441 nucleotides long. RefSeq lists it as uncharacterized. NCBI's taxonomy places the organism in Eukaryota, Metazoa, Arthropoda, Insecta, Diptera, Culicidae. The record is from RefSeq and is a predicted model, not a curated record. The transcript has 3 exons.
UGGAGGAGGAGGUUCAGCGCGGGAGAAAUGUUACCAGACAUCUCCGAUCUGGUGUCUGGACUUUUUUGAUAAUUUCAUAGAGAUUGGGUGUGCAGAUUGGCGGUUGGAGUUCUGGGAGGGAACGACUGGUAACUUUAAGGGUAUAUAUGAAGCCGAAAACACCCACAACAAUGAGGUAACUAACAUAAAGCUCGCCGGUGACAAAGUGAUAUUCGCACGGUUGAGUGGACGAAUCGAUUCUCUGAGACUGGAAACGUACACGCAAGGUUGUCAGAUCGAUUGGGGUUUUACGUCUGCAUAUGGGUGAACCCACGUACGCACCGGUUCGGCAGGAAGCAUUAGUUUAUUUCAGCAAUCCGUCCACAACGUUGCCAGCUCAACAUAACGCAUCCGAGGAGGAGCAUCGAUGUAUUCUGGAGUUUCACCAGCAGGGUUACCGGU